This 69-nucleotide transfer RNA is filed under the name Rattus norvegicus (Norway rat). It matches the Rfam family "tRNA". Rfam says of the family: Transfer RNA (tRNA) molecules are approximately 80 nucleotides in length. Their secondary structure includes four short double-helical elements and three loops (D, anti-codon, and T loops). Further hydrogen bonds mediate the characteristic L-shaped molecular structure. tRNAs have two regions of fundamental functional importance: the anti-codon, which is responsible for specific mRNA codon recognition, and the 3' end, to which the tRNAs corresponding amino acid is attached (by aminoacyl-tRNA synthetases). tRNAs cope with the degeneracy of the genetic code in two manners: having more than one tRNA (with a specific anti-codon) for a particular amino acid; and 'wobble' base-pairing, i.e. permitting non-standard base-pairing at the 3rd anti-codon position. Lineage: Eukaryota; Metazoa; Chordata; Mammalia; Rodentia; Muridae. The record is from Rfam by way of RNAcentral.
GGGGAUUUAGCUCAGUGGUAGAGUGCUUGCCUAGCAAGCACAAGGUCCUGGGUUCGGUCCCCAGCUCCA